UACGUAGGGACCGAGCGUUGUCCGGAUUCAUUGGGCGUAAAGGGCUCGUAGGCGGCCACUCAAGUCGAAUGUGAAACCUCGAGGCUCAACCUCGAGCCUGCAUUCGAUACUGGGCGGCUAGAGUCUGGUAGGGGGAUCUGGAAUUCCUGGUGUAGCGGUGGAAUGCGCAGAUAUCAGGAGGAACACCGGUGGCGAAGGCGGGAUCCUGGGCCAGUACUGACGCUGAUGAGCGAAAGCGUGGGGAGCAAACAGG
RNAcentral lists this ribosomal RNA (253 nucleotides) under uncultured bacterium. RNAcentral's name for it is "partial 16S ribosomal RNA". It matches the Rfam family "Bacterial small subunit ribosomal RNA", at positions 524 to 776 of the family's 1533-position model. The record is from RNAcentral.